RNAcentral lists this ribosomal RNA (451 nucleotides) under uncultured bacterium. Its description in RNAcentral is "partial 16S ribosomal RNA". It matches the Rfam family "Bacterial small subunit ribosomal RNA", at positions 354 to 796 of the family's 1533-position model. The record is from RNAcentral.
GUGGGGAAUAUUGCGCAAUGGGCGAAAGCCUGACGCAGCAACGCCGUGUGAGGGAUGAAGGCUUUCGGGUCGUAAACCUCUGUCAGAAGGGAAGAACGGGUGAGGGUCUAACAGGCCUUUAUUUUGACGGUACCUUCAGAGGAAGCACCGGCUAACUCCGUGCCAGCAGCCGCGGUAAUACGGAGGGUGCAAGCGUUAUUCGGAAUUACUGGGCGUAAAGCGCACGUAGGCGGCCUUGUAAGUCAGGGGUGAAAUCCCACGGCUCAACCGUGGAACUGCCCUUGAAACUGCGGGGCUUGAAUCCUGGAGAGGGUGGCGGAAUUCCUGGUGUAGGAGUGAAAUCCGUAGAUAUCAGGAGGAACACCGGUGGCGAAGGCGGCCACCUGGACAGGCAUUGACGCUGAGGUGCGAAAGUGUGGGGAGCAAACAGGAUUAGAAACCCGUGUAGUCC